RNAcentral lists this ribosomal RNA (115 nucleotides) under Hoylesella saccharolytica. Lineage: Bacteria; Pseudomonadati; Bacteroidota; Bacteroidia; Bacteroidales; Prevotellaceae. The record is from RNAcentral.
UCAGGUGGUUAUAGCGGCGGUGUCCCACCUCUUCCCAUUCCGAACAGAGAAGUUAAGCCCGCUUCGCGCCGAUGGUACUGCAAUGCAAUGCGGGAGAGUAGGUAGCUGCCUUCUU